Molecule: unclassified non-coding RNA, 339 nt
Filed under: soil metagenome
Description: partial contains 5.8S ribosomal RNA, internal transcribed spacer 2, and large subunit ribosomal RNA
Rfam family: 5.8S ribosomal RNA (bases 1-120)
Source: RNAcentral
GAUGAAGAACGCAGCGAAAUGCGAUAAGUAAUGUGAAUUGCAGAAUUCAGUGAAUCAUCGAAUCUUUGAACGCACAUUGCGCCCGCCAGUAUUCUGGCGGGCAUGCCUGUUCGAGCGUCAUUUCAACCAUCAAGCCCCCGGGCUUGUGUUGGGGACCUGCGGCUGCCCGCAGGCCCUGAAAACCAGUGGCGGGCUCGCUGUCACACCGAGCGUAGUAGCAAUCACCUCGCUCAGGGCGUGCUGCGGGUUCCGGCCGUUAAACAGCCUUACAAAACCCAAGGUUGACCUCGGAUCAGGUAGGAAGACCCGCUGAACUUAAGCAUAUCAAUAAGCGGAGGA